GAUGAACGCUGGCGGCGUGCCUAAUACAUGCAAGUCGAGCGAACAGACGAGGAGCUUGCUCCUCUGACGUUAGCGGCGGACGGGUGAGUAACACGUGGAUAACCUACCUAUAAGACUGGGAUAACUUCGGGAAACCGGAGCUAAUACCGGAUAAUAUAUUGAACCGCAUGGUUCAAUAGUGAAAGACGGUUUUGCUGUCACUUAUAGGUGGAUCCGCGCCGCAUUAGCUAGUUGGUAAGGUAACAGCUUACCAAGGCAACGAUGCGUAGCCGACCUGAGAGGGUGAUCGGCCACACUGGAACUGAGACACGGUCCAGACUCCUACGGGAGGCAGCAGUAGGGAAUCUUCCGCAAUGGGCGAAAGCCUGACGGAGCAACGCCGCGUGAGUGAUGAAGGUCUUCGGAUCGUAAAACUCUGUUAUUAGGGAAGAACAAAUGUGUAAGUAACUAUGCACGUCUUGACGGUACCUAAUCAGAAAGCCACGGCUAGCUACGUG
This 497-nucleotide ribosomal RNA is filed under the name uncultured bacterium. RNAcentral describes it as "partial 16S ribosomal RNA". It matches the Rfam family "Bacterial small subunit ribosomal RNA", at positions 28 to 507 of the family's 1533-position model. The record is from RNAcentral.